CGGACGGGGGAGUAAUGUCUGGGAAACUGCCCGAUGGAGGGGGAUAACUACUGGAAACGGUAGCUAAUACCGCAUAACGUCGCAAGACCAAAGAGGGGGGACUUCGGGCCUCUUGCCAUCGGAUGUGCCCAGAUGGGAUUAGCUAGUAGGUGGGGUAACGGCUCACCUAGGCGACGAUCCCUAGCUGGUCUGAGAGGAUGACCAGCCACACUGGAACUGAGACACGGUCCAG
Molecule: ribosomal RNA, 232 nt
Filed under: uncultured bacterium
Lineage: Bacteria
Description: partial 16S ribosomal RNA
Rfam family: Bacterial small subunit ribosomal RNA
Source: RNAcentral